Molecule: non-coding RNA, 27 nt
Filed under: Homo sapiens (human)
Lineage: Eukaryota; Metazoa; Chordata; Mammalia; Primates; Hominidae
Source: RNAcentral
UGAGUAGGAGUGCUGGUGCAUGCCAUA